UGCGCACAGCGGAAGGCGAAGCAAAGGUCGCGCGGCGCCCCGAGCGGGCAGGGACCUCAGCGGGCGGUUGGGGCAGUGGGCGGAGCCUGGGCUGUGACCGUGACGUAGCUGGGAGGCCACCGCCCCCCGCCCCGCCCCGCCCCGCCCCUCCCGGCGCUGUGGCGGCCGUUGCCGCCGGUGCUUUGUGGCGCCGCCCAGAGGGGAGGCGAGGGAGCCGUGAGGCGGUCGGGGCUUCUCGUGAGGUGAAGCUGAGCAAAGGGCGGCGCCUCGCCGUGCGUGUCGUGGAGUUUUAAAAGCUUCUUCGAGGGAGCCUAGGGAAAAAAGGGGCGGAAGGGUCGCGGGUAGCAAAAGCGAGGCUAAAACCCUCUCGACUUGAGAAGGCCUGGCCGGCAGCGCCAGCCCACGGUGUGCCGCCACACGGAGCUGGAGGGGGAGUGGGUGGGCGGUUGGACCCUGCGUCUCCUGUGGGAUGCUGAAACUAUACAGUUGUGAAGAAGAUGAGAGUAUAACGGAAGGGACCACCACAAGAAAAGAAGAAGAUGCCCCAGGCGUCUUCCCAGCAGGCUGGGCAGCGUUGUGGUGCUCGAAGAGGAUGUGUCGAUACCCAUGCGUUGUGGACCUCUAGGCAGAAUUUAUGUGAUGCGUUUCAGACACGACUACCAUCUCGCUCUCCUUGGCAAGGAGGAAGAAGAGCUGUUAAGCCUAGCAUAAUAAUGUCCAGUGAUCCGAAGGCAGUGAUCACAAGAGGUGAACUGUUUGCCUUAACUAGGGACAUUAAAACAGAAUUUCCCCCUCUCUGGCAUUUGAAAAACUUUUUUAUCUGUGUGUGCUUUUAUGCUAUGUUGGAACUGGUAUAAGUGUGCUCCUGUAAUUGCCGUGGGGAGCAGUGCUCAUCUGAAGGCAAGAGGGAACAAGGACAGGGUAAAAAUACAUCAGAAGUUCCCCUGAUGACAGAAUUUUGCAGACAAUUUGUAAGAAUAUUCAGCAAAUUAUCACUUCGUGGUGUGGAGAGAGUGCAUUGUUUUCCAAUGCUUGUGGUGUCUAGAGCAUGAGACACAUGUUUGUGCAGCUUCUAACAUUUCAUUGCAAGGGCAUUUGGAUGGAAGACAAGAACCUGUUCACCCAAACAGAUUUUUUUGCAAAUAUGCUGAACAAAACUAAAUGCAAGAUACGUGAGGAUUAUGAAAUAACAUAAUAUUCUGUCUUCUCUGUACUUAACAUUAAUCUCUCCUGAAUGGUGCUAGAGGCAGAGCAAAAGGCAGGAGUCUGCACUUAUUUUGAAAUCAUUCCUCCAGGAGGUAACAAAUAUUUUAAAACCCAUUUGUGCCUGAGUUGUCUUCAACAGUUCUUUGCAGUACAUUUCUUCAUACUUUGCUUUUAAAUUAAAUUUCAUCUGUUAUUAUGCUGCUCAGUUACGUUUGUACUAAAUCCUUUAGAUACUCUCCUGUACUC
Molecule: long non-coding RNA, 1452 nt
Organism: Aquila chrysaetos chrysaetos
Lineage: Eukaryota; Metazoa; Chordata; Aves; Accipitriformes; Accipitridae
Exons: 3
Source: RefSeq, a predicted model, not a curated record